UACGUAGGGUGCAAGCGUUAAUCGGAAUUACUGGGCGUAAAGAGCGUGUAGGCGGUCCGGUAAGUCCGCUGUGAAAGUCGGGGGCUCAACCCUCGAAUGCCGGUGGAUACUGUCGGGCUAGAGUGCGGAAGAGGCGAGUGGAAUUCCUGGUGUAGCGGUGAAAUGCGCAGAUAUCAGGAGGAACACCUAUUGCGAAGGCGGCUUCCUGGCCUGCAACUGACGCUGAGACGCGAAAGCGUGGGGAGCGAACCGG
Molecule: ribosomal RNA, 253 nt
Filed under: uncultured bacterium
Lineage: Bacteria
Description: partial 16S ribosomal RNA
Rfam family: Bacterial small subunit ribosomal RNA
Source: RNAcentral